AAAAAAAUCUUAAUAAAUAAUUUAAUAAAUUAAAAAGUUAUCUAUUAAAUUUAUAAAUAAUAAAAGUAUUUUUUAUAAUUGUUUUAGUAAUUAAAAAUAAAAUAAUAAAAUUUUUUUUAUAGUUUAAAGUAAAGAAAUUGAAAAGUUGAAAUAAAAUUGAAAAAUUAAUUAAUAAAAAAGAAUAAUUAAUUUUUUGUUCCUUGUGUAUCAGGAUUAAUCAAAUUUUAAAGUUAAAAUUAACAUAUUUAUAAUUUAAAAAAAAUUAAAAAUUUUUGUGUUUUAUUGUGUAAAAAAUAUUAUAAAAAAAUUUUUUAAAAUUAAAAGUUAAUUGUUUUUAAAGUUAUAUAAUUUUUAAAGAAAUAAAUUUAAUUUAGGUUAAUUUUAAUUAUUUUUAUAUUUUUUUUAUAGAAAUAAAAUUGAAUUAAUAUAAUAAUUUAAGGGUUGAGCUUUAAAUUAAAAAAUUAAAAUUAAUUUAAAUAAUAGUUAUUUAAUUAUUAAAUAUAAAAUAAAUAAUCUUAGAAAUAGAAAAUUUUAAUUAAAAUGUUUUAAUUAAUUAUUAUUAGUAAAAUAUUUAAUAAAAAUUUAAUUUUUUAUUUAAAAAAUAAAUUAAAUUAAAAAAUUUAAUUUAUAAUAAUUAAAUUAGUAAAUUUAAAAUUUUUGUAAAUAAAAAUAAUUUAAAAUAAAUUUUGAUAUAAUGAAUUCGACAAAAUUAUUUUUAUUUGUUUAACAAAAACAUUGUUUUUUAAAAUUUUUAAAAAAUAAGGCCUGCACACUGAAUUUAAAUUUAAAGAGCCGCAGUAUUUUGACUGUGCAAAGGUAGCAUAAUCAUUAGUUUUUUAAUUGAAGACUGGAAUGAAAGGUUUAAUAAAAAAUAAGUUUUAUUAUAUUAAUUAAAAUUGAAUUUAUUAUUUUAGUAAAAAAACUAAAAUUUAAAUAAAAGACGAUAAGACCCUAUAAAGCUUUAUAUAAUUUAUAUUAAAAAUUAAUUUAGAAUAAUUAAAUUUUUAGUUUUGUAAUUUAUUUGAUUGGGGUGAUUUAAAGAUUUAAAAAACUCUUUAUUUUAUUUUUUAUUUAUAAAUAAAAUUAAAAAUGAUCUUUAAAAUUUUGGAUUAAAAAAUUAAGUUACUUUAGGGAUAACAGCGUAAUUUUUUUAGAGAGUUCAAAUCGAUAAAAAAGUUUGCGACCUCGAUGUUGGAUUAAGAUAUAAAUUUAGGUGUAGAAGUUUAAAUUUUUAGUCUGUUCGACUAUUUUUCUUACAUGAUCUGAGUUCAAACCGGUUUAAGCCAGGUUGGUUUCUAUCUUUAUAUAAAUAUUAUGUUAUAGUACGAAAGGACCUAACAUAAAAAUAUAAAUUUAUAAAAUUAUAGAAUAAAAUUAAAAAAUAAAAGUUUUUUUUUGAAAAUAAAAGGUUUUAGUUAUUGAAUU
RNAcentral lists this ribosomal RNA (1425 nucleotides) under Polypedilum masudai. RNAcentral's name for it is "16S ribosomal RNA". The record is from RNAcentral. Lineage: Eukaryota; Metazoa; Arthropoda; Insecta; Diptera; Chironomidae.